This 351-nucleotide unclassified non-coding RNA is filed under the name soil metagenome. RNAcentral describes it as "partial contains 5.8S ribosomal RNA, internal transcribed spacer 2, and large subunit ribosomal RNA". The stretch from base 1 to 120 matches the Rfam family "5.8S ribosomal RNA", at positions 35 to 154 of the family's 154-position model. The record is from RNAcentral.
GAUGAAGAACGUAGCGAAAUGCGAUAAGUAGUGUGAAUUGCAGAAUUCAGUGAAUCAUCGAAUCUUUGAACGCACAUGGCGCCUUCCAGUAUCCUGGGAGGCAUGCCUGUCCGAGCGUCGUUUCAACCCUCGAGCCCCCGUGGCCCGGCGUUGGGGAUCUGCCACGGCAGGCCCCUAAAACCAGUGGCGGACCCGAAGGCCCUCUCCUUUGCGCAGUAGCAUCAGCCUCGCAUUGGGAUCCCUCGGCGUCCUGCCUCUAAACCCCCCGCAAGUCCGCUCCGGCGGCACCAAGGUUGACCUCGGAUCAGGUAGGAAUACCCGCUGAACUUAAGCAUAUCAAUAAGCGGAGGA